RNAcentral lists this ribosomal RNA (538 nucleotides) under Kyklioacalles aubei. Its description in RNAcentral is "partial 16S ribosomal RNA". It matches the Rfam family "Bacterial large subunit ribosomal RNA", at positions 1819 to 2625 of the family's 2925-position model. The record is from RNAcentral. Lineage: Eukaryota; Metazoa; Arthropoda; Insecta; Coleoptera; Curculionidae.
GGCUUUUUGAAAAUGAUUUAAGGUCUAGCCUGCCCAAUGAUGUAAUAAUUUAAUGGCCGCAGUAUUCUGACUGUGCAAAGGUAGCAUAAUCAUUAGUUUUUUAAUUGAAAGCUUGUAUGAAAGGUUUGAUGAGAAAAAAGCUGUCUCUAUAUAAAUUUUUAGAAAUUUAUUUUUAAGUUAAAAAGCUUAAAUUUUCAUUGAAGACGAGAAGACCCUAUAGAGUUUGAUUUAUAUAAUAGUAGAUAAAAUUUAGUAAUUAAAAACUUAUUUAUUAUCAUAUAAAUUUAGUUGGGGUGAUUGAAAAAUUUAUAAAACUUUUUUUGUAUCUUUACACUUAUUUGUGAGUAUUUGAUCCUUUAUAGAUUAUAAGAUGAAAUUACCUUAGGGAUAACAGCGUAAUUUUUUUUAGAGUUCUUAUCGAAAAAAGAGAUUGCGACCUCGAUGUUGGAUUAAAAAUAAAUUUUUGGUGUAGAAGCUAAUAAAUUAGGUCUGUUCGACCUUUAAAUUUUUACAUGAUCUGAGUUUAAACCGGUGUAAG